CAGUUGACAGUUCAUGUCAGCACAAACCAAGCAUGAAGUCAAAGGAAUUGUCUGUAGACCUCCAAGACAGGAUUGUCUCGAGGCACAAAUCUGGGGAAGGUUACUGAAAAAUUUCUGCUGCUUUGAAGGUCCCACUGGCUGGCCAUCUAAACUGAGCGAUCAGGGGAGAAGGGCCUUAGUCAGGGAGGUGACCAAGAACCCGAUGGUCACUCUGUCAGAGCUCCAGAGGUCCUCUGUGGAGAGAGGAGAACCUUCCAGAAGGACAACCAUCUCUGCAGCAUUCCACCAAUCAGGCCCGUAUGGUAGAAUGGCCAGACGGAAGCCACUCCUUAGUAAAAGGCACGUGGCAGCCCACCUGGAGUUUGCCAAAAGGCA
Erpetoichthys calabaricus (reedfish) is the source of this 375-nucleotide long non-coding RNA. RefSeq lists it as uncharacterized. The record is from RefSeq and is a predicted model, not a curated record. NCBI's taxonomy places the organism in Eukaryota, Metazoa, Chordata, Cladistia, Polypteriformes, Polypteridae. The transcript is spliced from 2 exons.